CAGUGCAGAGAAUGCACUUUUGUCUAGUGGAGAAAGACUGGGCCUCUGACAGCCAGGAUUUGGAGAGCUGGACAGGCCCUUAGUCACUAGGCUGUGAGCUCCUCAGUGACUGACCCUCAGGCGUCUCUGUAUCCACAGUGCCCACAUCAGGGCCAAGUGCCCGGAGCCCACGGGGCAUGAUUGUUGAAUCCCUUCGAGAAUUCACCUGAUAGGUGUUAAGGAGUACCCACUCUGUGCCGGGCACUCGGCUAGGUGGAGAGUACGACCUCCGCCUCUACAGCAUUUGCAGUCCUUUUGGGAAUUAAAGAAACACGGGGCCAUGUGAGUCCAAACAGGAUGACAACAUGCGUUUUGUGAUACUGACAUACGUUGGAGGAAGUCUCUAAGUGCGGAUUCAGAACCUCAGCCCUCUUCUGGAGCAGAGACGUCCAUGCGUCUAGUAUUUGGGAAACACAACUUUGGAACACUCCAGACUCUGGGAUGAAGUCCUUGCUCCUUAGAGAAGUGUUUGAGGGCCUUGGGCUUGCAUGUGCUCACCUCCCCAGGACAUCACCUCUUUGCAUCCGACAGAUGUGGAGCUUUUCGGACACCACCCA
Molecule: long non-coding RNA, 596 nt
Organism: Mustela lutreola (European mink)
Lineage: Eukaryota; Metazoa; Chordata; Mammalia; Carnivora; Mustelidae
Exons: 3
Source: RefSeq, a predicted model, not a curated record